Aegilops tauschii subsp. strangulata is the source of this 760-nucleotide long non-coding RNA. RefSeq lists it as uncharacterized. Lineage: Eukaryota; Viridiplantae; Streptophyta; Magnoliopsida; Poales; Poaceae. The record is from RefSeq and is a predicted model, not a curated record.
CUCCUCCUUCACAGGCACACGCCAGAUUCCCCAUUCUUCCCUCCCUCCUCCUUCACUGGCACACGCCAGAUUCCCCAUCCACAGCCGGCGAUCUGUGGUGGCCGUCCCUCCCCUUCGUCACCACUGCCAGCCGCCGCGGAGGCCCCUGAUGCGCCCCGCCCCUUCCCUUCGUCACCCCUGCCGGCCGCCGUGGAGGCCCGUGAUGUGCCCCGCCCCUCCCCUUCGUCACCAUUGCCAGCGGGCGCAUAGGCCCUUGAUCUGCCCCGCCCCUUCUUCGUAUAAGGUCGCCGAGGUGCUCGAGCUCGGCAUGCGCGUCGGCGACGCCGGGGCCCUCCCUCCUCCUGACGCACUCACCGUCGCCGCCAUGAGCGUCUCCACCUUCUCCCGCGUGCCAUGAACUUCCCUUCUCCCCCUGCUCGGGACGCCAGCAAGUCCGAAGCAAGAGCUCGCGAUCUGCAGUUCCUUCCUUCCAUGGAUGACCACGAAGACCUCUGCGUGCUGUGCUGCUGCUCGGGACCCUCCCUAUGCUUCUCAUCGCUCGUCCGGGUCCAGGUCCCCUUGCAGGACCAGACUCUGUGGUUGGCCCUGAUGUUGACGUCCACGCAGCCAGAAGGCAGAAGAUGAUAUUGGCUCUGCUGUUGAGCCGCAAACAUAGAAUGUUGCUUUGACAUGUACAUAAUUUGUGAUUUAUUGGUGGGGAAAUGAACUUCUAUUAUUUAUCCCGACGUAUCUGCUUGGGACAAUGAAGUUAUAUUCUUUA